RNAcentral lists this transfer RNA (78 nucleotides) under compost metagenome. Its description in RNAcentral is "tRNA-Lys". It matches the Rfam family "tRNA". Rfam says of the family: Transfer RNA (tRNA) molecules are approximately 80 nucleotides in length. Their secondary structure includes four short double-helical elements and three loops (D, anti-codon, and T loops). The record is from RNAcentral.
GAGUCGCUAGCUAAAUUGGAUACAGCAUCAGACUUUUAAUCUGACGAUUUCCCGGUUCGAGUCCGGGGCGACUCACCA